UCUGGCUCAGGACGAACGCUGGCGGCGUGCUUAACACAUGCAAGUCGAACGAUGAUGCCCAGCUUGCUGGGCGGAUUAGUGGCGAACGGGUGAGUAAUACGUGAGUAACCUGCCCUUGACUCUGGGAUAAGCCUGGGAAACUGGGUCUAAUACUGGAUACUACCUCUUACCGCAUGGUGGGUGGUGGAAAGGGUUUUACUGGUUUUGGAUGGGCUCACGGCCUAUCAGCUUGUUGGUGGGGUAAUGGCUCACCAAGGCGACGACGGGUAGCCGGCCUGAGAGGGUGACCGGCCACACUGGGACUGAGACACGGCCCAGACUCCUACGGGAGGCAGCAGUGGGGAAUAUUGCACAAUGGGCGGAAGCCUGAUGCAGCGACGCCGCGUGAGGGAUGACGGCCUUCGGGUUGUAAACCUCUUUCAGUAGGGAAGAAGCGAGAGUGACGGUACCUGCAGAAGAAGCGCCGGCUAACUACGUGCCAGCAGCCGCGGUAAUACGUAGGGCGCAAGCGUUGUCCGGAAUUAUUGGGCGUAAAGAGCUCGUAGGCGGUUUGUCGCGUCUGCUGUGAAAGCCCGGGGCUCAACCCCGGGUCUGCAGUGGGUACGGGCAGACUAGAGUGCAGUAGGGGAGACUGGAAUUCCUGGUGUAGCGGUGAAAUGCGCAGAUAUCAGGAGGAACACCGAUGGCGAAGGCAGGUCUCUGGGCUGUUACUGACGCUGAGGAGCGAAAGCAUGGGGAGCGAACAGGAUUAGAUACCCUGGUAGUCCAUGCCGUAAACGUUGGGCACUAGGUGUGGGGGACAUUCCACGUUUUCCGCGCCGUAGCUAACGCAUUAAGUGCCCCGCCUGGGGAGUACGGCCGCAAGGCUAAAACUCAAAGGAAUUGACGGGGGCCCGCACAAGCGGCGGAGCAUGCGGAUUAAUUCGAUGCAACGCGAAGAACCUUACCAAGGCUUGACAUUCACCGGACCGCCUCAGAGAUGGGGUUUCCCUUCGGGGCUGGUGGACAGGUGGUGCAUGGUUGUCGUCAGCUCGUGUCGUGAGAUGUUGGGUUAAGUCCCGCAACGAGCGCAACCCUCGUUCUAUGUUGCCAGCACGUGAUGGUGGGGACUCAUAGGAGACUGCCGGGGUCAACUCGGAGGAAGGUGGGGAUGACGUCAAAUCAUCAUGCCCCUUAUGUCUUGGGCUUCACGCAUGCUACAAUGGCCGGUACAAAGGGUUGCGAUACUGUGAGGUGGAGCUAAUCCCAAAAAGCCGGUCUCAGUUCGGAUUGAGGUCUGCAACUCGACCUCAUGAAGUCGGAGUCGCUAGUAAUCGCAGAUCAGCAACGCUGCGGUGAAUACGUUCCCGGGCCUUGUACACACCGCCCGUCAAGUCACGAAAGUUGGUAACACCCGAAGCCGGUGGCCUAACCCCUUGUGGGAGGGAGCCGUCGAAGGUGGGACUGGCGAUUGGGACUAAGUCGUAACAGG
RNAcentral lists this ribosomal RNA (1471 nucleotides) under Kocuria rosea. RNAcentral describes it as "bacterial SSU rRNA". It matches the Rfam family "Bacterial small subunit ribosomal RNA". Lineage: Bacteria; Bacillati; Actinomycetota; Actinomycetes; Micrococcales; Micrococcaceae. The record is from RNAcentral.